This 253-nucleotide ribosomal RNA is filed under the name uncultured bacterium. RNAcentral describes it as "partial 16S ribosomal RNA". It matches the Rfam family "Bacterial small subunit ribosomal RNA", at positions 524 to 776 of the family's 1533-position model. The record is from RNAcentral.
UACAGAGGUCUCAAGCGUUGUUCGGAUUCAUUGGGCGUAAAGGGUGCGUAGGUGGCGCGGUAAGUCGGGUGUGAAAUCUCGGAGCUUAACUCCGAAAUUGCAUUCGAUACUGCCGUGCUUGAGGACUGGAGAGGAGACUGGAAUUCAUGGUGUAGCAGUGAAAUGCGUAGAGAUCAUGAGGAAGACCAGUGGCGAGGGCGGGUCUCUGGACAGUUCCUGACACUGAGGCACGAAGGCCAGGGGAGCAAACGGG